GUAGGUGAACCUGCGGAAGGAUCAUUAUCACGUAUCCACGUUAUAAACCAAUUCGUGAACUGUUUUCUCACCUUUGGGCUAUGGCCGCUGUCAGUUGACACAUGGGUUCAUUGUAUGAUUAUGAACUCGUCGAUUGGCAAUUAAGGCUGUUUCUCCGAAGUGUAUUUAAUCAUACUUUCAAAAACAUUAACCACUUGAACACUAUGAAAUUUUCUUUGUUUGAACUGAUUUGUUUCUUACUCAGUGUGGG
RNAcentral lists this unclassified non-coding RNA (250 nucleotides) under plant metagenome. Its description in RNAcentral is "partial contains small subunit ribosomal RNA, internal transcribed spacer 1, and 5.8S ribosomal RNA". The record is from RNAcentral.